Molecule: signal recognition particle RNA, 96 nt
Filed under: Paraperlucidibaca wandonensis
Lineage: Bacteria; Pseudomonadati; Pseudomonadota; Gammaproteobacteria; Moraxellales; Moraxellaceae
Also listed under: 1 other name
Description: signal recognition particle sRNA small type
Rfam family: Bacterial small signal recognition particle RNA
About the family: The signal recognition particle (SRP) is a universally conserved ribonucleoprotein involved in the co-translational targeting of proteins to membranes.
Source: RNAcentral
UACCGGUCUCCUCGCACGAUAAAACAGUUAACCCCGCCAGAUCCGGAAGGAAGCAACGGUCACUGUCGAGUCGGUGCCGAGGCCGGGCUGGUAGGG